This 405-nucleotide ribosomal RNA is filed under the name uncultured bacterium. Its description in RNAcentral is "bacterial SSU rRNA". It matches the Rfam family "Bacterial small subunit ribosomal RNA", at positions 355 to 774 of the family's 1533-position model. The record is from RNAcentral.
UGGGGAAUAUUGGGCAAUGGGCGCAAGCCUGACCCAGCAACGCCGCGUGAAGGAUGAAGGCUUUCGGGUUGUAAACUUCUUUUAUCAGGGACGAAAUAAAUGACGGUACCUGAUGAAUAAGCCACGGCUAACUACGUGCCAGCAGCCGCGGUAAUACGUAGGUGGCAAGCGUUAUCCGGAUUUACUGGGUGUAAAGGGCGUGUAGGCGGGACUGCAAGUCAGGUGUGAAAACCACGGGCUCAACCUGUGGCCUGCAUUUGAAACUGUAGUUCUUGAGUGCUGGAGAGGCAAUCGGAAUUCCGUGUGUAGCGGUGAAAUGCGUAGAUAUACGGAGGAACACCAGUGGCGAAGGCGGAUUGCUGGACAGUAACUGACGCUGAGGCGCGAAAGCGUGGGGAGCAAACA